UGGGGAAUAUUGCACAAUGGGGGAAACCCUGAUGCAGCGACGCCGCGUGGAGGAUGACGGCCUUCGGGUUGUAAACUCCUUUUGUCAGGGACAAUGGUGAUGGUACCUGACGAAUAAGCCACGGCUAACUCUGUGCCAGCAGCCGCGGUAAGACAGAGGUGGCGAGCGUUGUUCGGAAUUACUGGGCUUAAAGGGCGCGUAGGCGGUGGUGUAAGUCUGGGGUGGAAUGCUACAGCUCAACUGUAGAGCUGCCUUGGAAACUGCAUUACUUGAGUCGGUGAGGGGAAGGCGGAAUUCCUGGUGUAGCGGUGAAAUGCGUAGAUAUCAGGAGGAAGGUCUGUGGCGAAGGCGGCCUUCUGGCACUUGACUGACGCUGAGGCGCGAAAGCGUGGGGAGCA
RNAcentral lists this ribosomal RNA (398 nucleotides) under uncultured bacterium. RNAcentral describes it as "bacterial SSU rRNA". It matches the Rfam family "Bacterial small subunit ribosomal RNA", at positions 355 to 770 of the family's 1533-position model. The record is from RNAcentral.